Non-coding RNA from Triticum urartu, 558 nucleotides. NCBI's taxonomy places the organism in Eukaryota, Viridiplantae, Streptophyta, Magnoliopsida, Poales, Poaceae. The record is from RefSeq and is a predicted model, not a curated record.
CUACGCAACGGAUGAUUUAUACUACUACCAUGUUUUUUAUGUUGGGUCUGAGAAACUAGAGAAUUCAUGCCUCUUUGCCAUGCCAAGAGUAUUCUAGGGAUUUCUUAUGAAUAUACUGUAUGUAAUAUGGGAUGGCUAUUUUGAUUAAGAGAUCAAUUUUUAUGCAGGUUUAUCUACACACUUCUCAGCCUGGGAAUCAUCAUGUGCUUGCUGACCUGCUCGGGCCACAUCGCCGCUGAAACUGCAAACAGCCCCUGCCUGUCUUGUCACGUGAUCUUUGUAUUCUUGCUUGUGAUACUGGAAGCUGCAAUCGCCGCCGAUGUAUUUCUGAAUAGCUACUGGGAGGAGGACAAAUCCCACCAGACUUGGCUCUAAUUGAAGUUAUCAUAAGAGUAAGCAAUCAGCACUUGUUGUUCUGUUUUCUGAUUCUAUUGAGAAAGCUCAAAAUUUGCAGUGUAAGAUCAAACUUUUGCUCGCAGAAUAUUGAAUGUGCGCUAAAAAGUAUGUAGAUUCACUCAUGAGGGCAGAAUCCUGUGAAUUUCUUUUGAAUCAAUUGCU